UUAUACAAUGAAGAGUUUGAUCCUGGCUCAGGAUGAACGCUAGCGGCAGGCUUAACACAUGCAAGUCGAGGGGCAGCGAGAUUGUUAGCAAUAACGAUUGUCGGCGACCGGCGCAAGGGUGCGUAACGCGUGAGCAACUUGCCCGUUUCAGGGGGAUAACCGGUGGAAACGCCGACUAAUACCCCAUAGCAUCACAUUUAGGCAUCUUAAUGUGAUUAAAGAAUUUCGGAAACGGAUAGGCUCGCGUGACAUUAGCUAGACGGCGGGGUAACGGCCCACCGUGGCGACGAUGUCUAGGGGUUCUGAGAGGAAGGUCCCCCACACUGGAACUGAGACACGGUCCAGACUCCUACGGGAGGCAGCAGUGAGGAAUAUUGGUCAAUGG
This 385-nucleotide ribosomal RNA is filed under the name Bacteroidales bacterium. Its description in RNAcentral is "bacterial SSU rRNA". It matches the Rfam family "Bacterial small subunit ribosomal RNA", at positions 1 to 374 of the family's 1533-position model. Lineage: Bacteria; Pseudomonadati; Bacteroidota; Bacteroidia; Bacteroidales. The record is from RNAcentral.